AGUGGCGGACGGGUGAGUAACGCGUGGGUAACCUGCCUCGUACAGGGGGAUAACAGUUAGAAAUGACUGCUAAUACCGCAUGAGCGCACAGUACCGCAUGGUACGGUGUGAAAAACUCCGGUGGUAUGAGAUGGACCCGCGUCUGAUUAGGUAGUUGGUGGGGUAACGGCCUACCAAGCCGACGAUCAGUAGCCGACCUGAGAGGGUGACCGGCCACAUUGGGACUGAGACACGGCCCAA
Molecule: ribosomal RNA, 240 nt
Filed under: uncultured bacterium
Lineage: Bacteria
Description: partial 16S ribosomal RNA
Rfam family: Bacterial small subunit ribosomal RNA
Source: RNAcentral